UAGGGAAUCUUCCACAAUGGACGCAAGUCUGAUGGAGCAACGCCGCGUGAGUGAAGAAGGUCUUCGGAUCGCAAAACUCUGUUGUUAGAGAAGAACACGAGUGAGAGUAACUGUUCAUUCGAUGACGGUAUCUAACCAGCAAGUCACGGCUAACUACGUGCUAG
Molecule: ribosomal RNA, 164 nt
Filed under: uncultured bacterium
Lineage: Bacteria
Description: partial 16S rRNA
Rfam family: Bacterial small subunit ribosomal RNA
Source: RNAcentral